UACGGGGGGGGCAAGCGUUGUUCGGAAUUACUGGGCGUAAAGGGCUCGUAGGCGGCCAACUAAGUCAGACGUGAAAUCCCUCGGCUUAACCGGGGAACUGCGUCUGAUACUGGAUGGCUUGAGAUUGGGAGAGGGAUGCGGAAUUCCAGGUGUAGCGGUGAAAUGCGUAGAUAUCUGCAGGAACACCCGUGGCGAAAGCGGCGCGCUGGACCACUACUGACGCUGAGGAACGAAAGCUAGGGGAGCAAACAGG
RNAcentral lists this ribosomal RNA (253 nucleotides) under uncultured bacterium. RNAcentral's name for it is "partial 16S ribosomal RNA". It matches the Rfam family "Bacterial small subunit ribosomal RNA", at positions 524 to 776 of the family's 1533-position model. The record is from RNAcentral.